Long non-coding RNA from Sitodiplosis mosellana (orange wheat blossom midge), 416 nucleotides. RefSeq lists it as uncharacterized. NCBI's taxonomy places the organism in Eukaryota, Metazoa, Arthropoda, Insecta, Diptera, Cecidomyiidae. The transcript is spliced from 3 exons. The record is from RefSeq and is a predicted model, not a curated record.
CUGAAAUGUCAUUUGAAAGAAGAAUUAAUAUUUGCGACCAACUUUGUUGAUCAUAUGAAGUCGUGUAUUGAUCAUAACAACUUGAAAAAUAAAAAUGCGAGAAGUGCAUCAUUGCAGAAUAGCUGAGCAAAGAUUACGAGAUGGAAUCAGAAUGAAUCCCGCCAGUUGGCAUGGCUGCAAUGUGUUUGUACACGAUUUGGUUCGAAUUGAUGUGAAUAUUAUGGCUGAGAUACACAGGAAGGAAGUGGUUAAGUUUAUAACACUUUGUCAACUAUUUGCGAAAAAUAUGUUGGGCACUCAAAGCGCUUGAAAACAAAUCGAAUCUCCGAUUAGAUAAGCAAUGGAUUGGCGCCUCGGAACACACAUCGUCCAAAUUGAUAUAAAUUGUGUCAUUUUUAUUAAUAAAAAAAAACGAA